UCCAGGCGGUCACUUCACGCGUUAGCUACGUUACUAAUAGGUUUAACCCUACCAACAACUAGUUGACAUCGUUUAGGGCGUGGACUACCAGGGUAUCUAAUCCUGUUUGCUCCCCACGCUUUCGUGCAUGAGCGUCAGUAUCGGCCCAGGGGGCUGCCUUCGCCAUCGGUGUUCCUCCACAUCUCUACGCAUUUCACUGCUACACGUGGAAUUCCACCCCCCUCUGCCGUACUCUAGUUAGGCAGUCUUCAAUGCAGUUCCCAGGUUGAGCCCGGGGAUUUCACAUCAAACUUACCUAACCGCCUGCGCACGCUUUACGCCCAGUAAUUCCGAUUAACGCUCGCACCCUACGUAUUACCGCGGCUGCUGGCACGUAGUUAGCCGGUGCUUCUUAUGCCGGUACCGUCAUCCACACAGAGUAUUAGCCUGUGCGAUUUCUUCCCGGCCGAAAGAGCUUUACAACCCGAAGGCCUUCUUCACUCACGCGGCAUGGCUGGAUCAGGGUUUCCCCCAUUGUCCAAAAUUCCCCACUGCUGCCUCCCGUA
This 545-nucleotide ribosomal RNA is filed under the name uncultured beta proteobacterium. Its description in RNAcentral is "partial 16S ribosomal RNA". Lineage: Bacteria; Pseudomonadati; Pseudomonadota; Betaproteobacteria. The record is from RNAcentral.